CUCAUUACUUGGCGCCGGGACCAGGGUGACCACGAAUGCCUUGGCCUAAGGUGAAAACUCGCCUUUGCACUCGGGAGGGUUGAAGCCUGCGAUGAUCCGUAAUUGGGAUCGCUCGGAUGCGCACUUUUUGACAGUGGGAACGUCCUCCGACGAUA
Echinostoma caproni is the source of this 155-nucleotide non-coding RNA. The record is from Rfam. Lineage: Eukaryota; Metazoa; Platyhelminthes; Trematoda; Plagiorchiida; Echinostomatidae.